CAGUGUCUGGUGGGUAGUUUGACUGGGGCGGUCUCCUCCUAAAGAGUAACGGAGGAGCACGAAGGUUGGCUAAUCCUGGUCGGACAUCAGGAGGUUAGUGCAAUGGCAUAAGCCAGCUUGACUGCGAGCGUGACGGCGCGAGCAGGUGCGAAAGCAGGUCAUAGUGAUCCGGUGGUUCUGAAUGGAAGGGCCAUCGCUCAACGGAUAAAAGGUACUCCGGGGAUAACAGGCUGAUACCGCCCAAGAGUUCAUAUCGACGGCGGUGUUUGGCACCUCGAUGUCGGCUCAUCACAUCCUGGGGCUGAAGUAGGUCCCAAGGGUAUGGCUGUUCGCCAUUUAAAGUGGUACGCGAGCUGGGUUUAGAACGUCGUGAGACAGUUCGGUCCCUAUCUGCCGUGGGCGCUGGAGAACUGAGGGGGGCUGCUCCUAGUACGAGAGGACCGGAGUGGACGCAUCACUGGUGUUCGGGUUGUCAUGCCAAUGGCACUGCCCGGUAGCUAAAUGCGGAAGAGA
This 513-nucleotide ribosomal RNA is filed under the name Salmonella enterica. RNAcentral describes it as "partial 23S ribosomal RNA". It matches the Rfam family "Bacterial large subunit ribosomal RNA", at positions 2252 to 2764 of the family's 2925-position model. Lineage: Bacteria; Pseudomonadati; Pseudomonadota; Gammaproteobacteria; Enterobacterales; Enterobacteriaceae. RNAcentral also lists the same sequence under 2 other names. The record is from RNAcentral.